GUGGUACUCCCUCCGUUCGGAAAUACUUGUCAUCAAAAUGAACAAAAGGGAUGUAUCUAGACGUAUUUUAGUUCUAGAUACAUCCCUUUUUAUCCAUUUUGAUGACAAGUAUUUUCGGACGGAGGGAGUAUAUA
Triticum aestivum (bread wheat) is the source of this 134-nucleotide non-coding RNA. NCBI's taxonomy places the organism in Eukaryota, Viridiplantae, Streptophyta, Magnoliopsida, Poales, Poaceae. The record is from Rfam.